UGGAAGUAAAAGUCGUAACAAGGUCUCCGUUGGUGAACCAGCGGAGGGAUCAUUACAGAGUUGCAAAACUCCCCAAACCAUUGUGAACCUACCCAAAAAACCGUUGCUUCGGCGGGCGGCGCCCGGGGUCUCCCCGGGUCGCCCCUCGGCCCCCGCGCGGGCGCCCGCCGGAGGAUUAUACAACACCCUGUUUGCUCUCUAUGGCCUCUCUGAGUCUCUGUACUGAAUAAGUCAAAACUUUCAACAACGGAUCUCUUGGUUCUGGCAUCGAUGAAGAACGCAGCGAAAUGCGAUAAGUAAUGUGAAUUGCAGAAUUCAGUGAAUCAUCGAAUCUUUGAACGCACAUUGCGCCCGCCAGUAUUCUGGCGGGCAUGCCUGUUCGAGCGUCAUUUCAACCAUCGAGCCCCCGGGCUUGUGUUGGGGACCUGCGGCUGCCCGCAGGCCCUGAAAACCAGUGGCGGGCUCGCUGUCACCCCGAGCGUAGUAGUUAUCCAACUCGCCCAGGGCGUGCUGCGGGUUCCGGCCGUUAAGCCACCCAUUACCCCAAGGUUGACCUCGGAUCAGGUAGGAAUACCCGCUGAACUUAAGCAUAUCAAUAAGCGGAGGAA
Molecule: ribosomal RNA, 608 nt
Filed under: Madurella tropicana
Lineage: Eukaryota; Fungi; Ascomycota; Sordariomycetes; Sordariales
Description: eukaryotic LSU rRNA
Rfam family: 5.8S ribosomal RNA (bases 236-389)
Source: RNAcentral